Molecule: ribosomal RNA, 438 nt
Filed under: uncultured bacterium
Lineage: Bacteria
Description: bacterial SSU rRNA
Rfam family: Bacterial small subunit ribosomal RNA
Source: RNAcentral
UGAUGGCGACCGGCGGCACGGGUCGAGUAACGCGUAUCCAACCUUCCCUACUACUAGGGGAGUAGCCCGGCGAAGUACGGAUUAAUACUCUAUGUUCUUCGUAGAAGACAUCUGAAAUGAAGCAAAGGUUUACCGGUAUAGGAUGGGGAUGCGUCUGAUUAGGUUGUUGGCGGGGUAACGGCCCACCAAGCCCACGAUCAGUAGGGGUUCUGAGAGGAAGGUCCCCCACAUUGGAACUGAGACACGGUCCAAACUCCUACGGGAGGCAGCAGUGAGGAAUAUUGGUCAAUGGACGAGAGUCUGAACCAGCCAAGUAGCGUGCAGGAUGACGGCCCUAUGGGUUGUAAACUGCUUUUAUACAGGGAUAAAGUUCACUACGUGUAGUGUUUUGUAGGUACUGUAUGAAUAAGGACCGGCUAAUUCCGUGCCAGCCGCCGC